UUUAAAUUUAAUUUUUUUAUCAAAUUAGUAUUAGUUAAGUUCUUGAAAAUUAAAGAUUUUGGCGGUAUUUUAGUCUUUUCAGAGGAACCUGUUCUAUAAUUGAUAAUCCACGAUUAAUUGGACUUUUAUUAUUAAUUUGUAUAUCGUCGUAUAAGAAUAUUUUAAAAGAAAUUGAAUAUUCAAUAUUUUUUAUUUAAUUAUAAAUCAGAUCAAGGUGCAGUUUAUAUAAAAGAAGAAAUGGGUUACAAUAAAUAAAUUUAUAUGGAUAUAAAAAUGAAAUUUUUUAUUGAAAGUGGAUUUGAGAGUAAUUUUAUUUAUUUAAAUAAUAUGAUUUUAGCUCUAAAAUAUGU
RNAcentral lists this ribosomal RNA (350 nucleotides) under Dastarcus helophoroides. RNAcentral's name for it is "partial 12S ribosomal RNA". Lineage: Eukaryota; Metazoa; Arthropoda; Insecta; Coleoptera; Bothrideridae. The record is from RNAcentral.